Molecule: unclassified non-coding RNA, 209 nt
Filed under: Hevea brasiliensis (rubber tree)
Lineage: Eukaryota; Viridiplantae; Streptophyta; Magnoliopsida; Malpighiales; Euphorbiaceae
Source: RNAcentral
ACCCAAAAAAAUGACAAAACGUAAUCCGCAGCUCAAUCGCAGAUCAAGAUAAUCGAUUCGCACAAAAUCAAGAAAAAUUAAACCUCAAAAUCCAAAUCGGUUGCAUGCAACACAUAAAAAUCAAAAACAAACAUAUCAAACAAACACAUCAAUAACAAAAAUGACAGGAAAUUAUUUAGAUUGGACGCAAAUAUUAGGGAUCAAGAACA